This is a long non-coding RNA of Acinonyx jubatus (cheetah), 5247 nucleotides long. RefSeq lists it as uncharacterized. The transcript has 3 exons. The record is from RefSeq and is a predicted model, not a curated record. Lineage: Eukaryota; Metazoa; Chordata; Mammalia; Carnivora; Felidae.
CCGAGUCUGACCUCUGGACGCACCGGGGUGGGUCUCUUGCUACAGAGCCGAGGGACACAGCUCUGACUCCUACUUUGAUUGCGAACCCGUGUCUUUGUCUCUGCAGGGUCAGCAGCUCCGAACUGCCCUCUCCACGCCGAGACCCUCGUCACAGCUACUUGCUCGUGCUUCUCAGGGACCGAGAUGCUGCCAGCAGGUGCAUGCUGUUUGCCUCCAGCCCCAGCCGUGCCCGCGGGGGCAGGUCCCCCUUGCUGUCCAGCCGCCCCGUCCCGGAGCCUGUUUCCGGCCUUUAGGAAGGAGACAACCCACUUCCGGUGAUUUGUGGAGGGUGCGUUCUCAGGUGGAGGGAGGGAGGGAAGCCCUCGGGGCCAGUGGAAUGAGUGGGAAGGGGUCCAGCUCCCAAGGGGAGGGGAACCCGGAGACAUGAGACUCAGAGGCACCGGGCCUCUGAGGCAGGGGGCUGCCCUCCUGUGCUGUGACGGAGUCAUCGCUGGUGCUGGCUCACGUGGCUGUUUGGGGGUGGAGGCUCCCGGCUGAGCCGGAGAGCCGCUCGGAGGCCCCACAUCCCAGCAGCCGGGGAGCCACUCGGUCAGCACCUGCUCCUCCGGGAACACUGGCCGGGACACGCCCGCUUCCCCAGCCGAGUGUUUUACGAAAGGUGGACAGCGUGGCCGGAUGCGGAGUGAUUGUGAGCCGGGCACGAAGGCCCAGGAGGGUCUGCGUGUGAGGACAGACUGUGCGGGCACACGGGGUCACCACGGCCAUCCCAACACCGAUGGCCCUGCCCGUCUCCAGUAGGUCAGGACCCAAGAAGAACUGCAAAGGAGUAGUUAAGUCAUGGUCAUGUUUGUGAAGGUAGUUAUGGGCAGACGUAGGCGAUGGGAGUCGCAUCUGCAGGAGGCUUUGGCCCGUGGCUCACGCCCUUGUGUCUGACCGGGACUGUGGAGAGGGGGACUCGGGGUCAGUGGUCCUGCUGGCUGUGGGCCCGGCUCCCUUCUCUGAACAUCAUGAUCAUUGUUGGCACUUGAUCCACGGUCAGCAGAGAGCAGAGAGUCGGGACGGGGUUCCUCGGGGGCGAACCAACAAAUAUCCCCUCAAAGUUUAAACCCGGUUCUCCAGGAUUGAAGGAAGGACGGCGAAUGUUUCUGUGUACGUGACAUAGUCUAUCUGGAAGACAUACAAAGAGGUCAAAAGCACCUCAUUAAAAAUAUAUUGUCAGAAGAAAAGAGCCAAUUAUGGUGCACAUGAUAUGAGUGAUCAAUAUAAUUAAGAAAUGAAUUCUCAAUAAAAAGACUGACGGAGGCUGUAUUUGGGCAGAAUUGAUAUCGUACGGACUAAUUAAAUAUUUAUCGAGUGUCAGCGCAGUGCGGUGCUGGAUGCUACAGGGACACAGAAUAUAUUUCUGUUUCUAAGGAAUGCUCGUGCGACACAGUCAUGCAUAAUGGAAGCAGGACGUGGUCAGUGUCACCGAGUGGGCGGGACGGUGAGGCUUCCCAGCGUGCCGCUUUUUCUGCACCCACUGUUCAAGCUGAAAUCGACAAAAUUCGGUUCAUUAAAAUCUCAGGGGAGCCUGGGAGGCUCAGUUGCUUAAGCAUCAACUCACGUUUCAGGCUUGGGUUAUGAUCUUGUGGUUUCGUGAGUUCGAGCCCUCCCUCAGACUCUUCUGACAGCACGGAGCCUGCUGGGGAUUCUCUCUGUCUGUCUGUCUGUCUGUCUCUCUUUCCUCCUCCCGUGCUCAUUCUCCCCCCCGCCCCACGUCUCCCCCACUGUCUCUGUUUCUCUCAAAAUAAAUAAAUAAACUUAAAAAAUAUCAGUCAUAUUAUAUUAUAGCUUAACUUCUUUGGUCAAAACUAUAGAUUCUGUGCUCUUUGGGAGCAAUGCUGGCUGGGGUGACCAAACACACAUUCGCCGUCUUGGUCUGAAAACGGAAACGGAACGAAGCAGUGAAUUAGAUUUUUGGAAAACACACAAAACUGUUUCAGUAACAGGGAGUGUGAUGCAAAGCUUGUGUCCUGGGUUAGUCGGGGCACCUGCUGUCGGCAGCUGUCUCGGUGGCGAGGCUCUGUCGGGUGAGAUCCUCACCGUCCUCCCCGGCCGGUGCAGGUGCAGGCGCUGGGCCCCUCCAUCUGGGGGCCUCAUCUCCAAUUCGGGGGGUCAGAGCCCUGCCGGGUCCUUUCCGUGGGGCCCGUGGCGAACACAAGAGUGUGAGGUUCACACAGACUCUUUGCAUCAACUCGUCCACGCUCCAUGAGCGAAACCCAGUUCACACGGUUCUGGCGAGAGGCUGUGUCCCAGAAGGAGGGAAACGGAUUGGUAAGACUGAUGCGGAUUCAUGUUGGUCUUGGUUGUAGAGGCCGCCUAGUGCUGGUGUGAACGUUUUCCUAGAGGGAGGAUACGGCACUUGUGAGAAUCAGUCAUGGGCAGAGCGGCUGUGUGGGCCGUGUUCCCUCUGUAGUAUUCCUUCCACGGCCACAGUCCCCCACUCAGCAUAACCGGGAUCCAGCGGCUGCUUCGGACCAGAAUGAUGUGAUGAGGGGGCCGUAGAGACGGCUGUUAGUGAACCGUGGCCAGGGGCACAGCGCACCGUGGGACAGACCCUUCUGGGAGCAGGAGAGGUCUGCCUUCUGUGAGCGGACGCCCGCAGCCCCAAGCCGAGUCACAGAGCUCCCGUUGGCUCUGAAGAAGUGUGUGGUUGCAGGAGGGGAAGGGCUCGUGGCUCCGACGGGAGGAGCUGUCUGACCGCCACCUGCUCCGUUAACUGCGGGCGCGUCUUGCCGGAUGGCUCAGUGUCUGGGUCUCAGGACCAGAGGCUUUACGGAUGCUUAGAGGACAACCACAGGAGUCUGAUUCCAAAUCUGGAACGAGUUUGGGUGGCACAAGGCUGCAUGGAGAGGUCGCCAGGCUUCGGCGUGGGGGCCACGGCGGGCCGACCCCCGGGCAGAACGUGGACUCCAGACCCAGGCUGCUGGGGUUCCGGUCGGCCUCUGCGGGUCUGUGCUCACGUGACCCCCUCGCGAUGCCGAGGCUUCGUGUGAGGAGGUCCGGUGUCGAUCCCCAGGGUUGCUCUGACAGUCAGCGGAGGCGUAUGUGCAGGUGACCCGCAGGUAGGUGUGCGCUCUCUCCAUGGUCGUUACUAUGAGCCCAGUGGAUUCAUUUGUUCCCCGACUCGCUGAGAAAUUCACGGGCUCCCCAGAUUCACAUAAUGGGGCUACCAGCAAGCCGAGAUGAACCAGGAGAGGAGCCAGGCAGGACCGCGGUGAGUCUUUUCUCUUUCGUAUCUGCACUGCCGGCCUCCCAGGGCCUGCGUGGGCCUGCCCUGCACGCGGGUCUCCGUGCUCGCAGGUCUGCCGUGCACACGGGUCUGCCCCGCACACGGGUCUGGCUGUGCGCACGGGCCUCCCGUGCCCCGUGGCCUCCUGCGGUGGUUUGCUCGUGCUGGGUCUUGAUUUCUGAGGCUUGUCUGGGUGCGAUGCUUUGUGUUCAGGAGCGUGUGGGUGUGGUGCAAUCCUCCCGCCUCCCGAAACAGAAUGCACGCACACGCACACACUCAGGCACACGCACACACAGAACCCCCCACGGACACACACUCCAGAGACACGUGUGCACACACCCACACCGUCCCUCUCUCUCUCGGGUCAUUUUUACUAUUUCUCUCUUAAAGAGAACAGCUCUGCAGUGAAGACGGGACUUGGCUGGACCCUGCCUUCCACGUGUCCUGCACACAAUUUGCCGUGUGUCUCUCAAGGCCCGUGGCUUGGCUGGCCCUGCGUGCGAGCACGGCUGGUCGUGGGCUCAGGUGGCCCCGCGGGUGGCCGUGGUGGGAGGAGGAGGAGCACCGUGAGGUGUGGGUCGGGGGCAGAGGACGCCGUGUGCUGAGACGCCGGGAGCAGGGCAAAGCCAGAAGCAGUGUCAGAAUCGGUGAGGGUUUCGUGCCGGGAGUCACUUGCAGGCCUGAGGACCACCCCCCAGCUCGACUGAGACCCCAUCCCUCUGCGGACGUGGCCCGAGGGAGCCUGGGGUAGAUAAUCAAACACCCCUAUGUUAGCAUUCUGGUGCAAGACUUGGACUGUCCAGCAGACAGAAGACAAGCUCGACCUUCCGGAAGCCGGGCGAGGCGCGUCAGGCGGAUGGGAGACUGGACAGAGCCCAGUGUCCGGCUGAGCUCUGGAGGAAGACGGACCAUGACCAGCUGGUUCAGAUCCGGGGUCCCCCACACCCCAGCACCCAGCAGCCAGGGACCCGGGUCGGAGGUCGGCUGUGUGCUCCUGUCCCGGGCCGUGCAGAGGGCUCACGCGGGCCCCGGGCGGACGUGAAUUCCCACCCGCCUACUGCCCCAGGACCCCAACUUUUCCCCUUCCCGAGAAAAAAGUGUUAUUAUUAUAUUUUUAAUUCCCUGAUGUGCGACCCAGCAGCCAGUAUCGUCUUACAGAGGAUGAAUAGAAGGGUGGGGGGCAGGCUGUGUGGCCGGGUUUCAAUAUCCCCCCUGCGAGCCAUUACGUCAUCCGGCUACUCUCUAAGAGGAUUUUCAGCAGGCUUGGCUUCGUUAUUAAAAUAGUAAUUAAUUUUUUCCUCUUCACAAAACCCAGGGACCUUCAGACGGAGGCCUCGGGAGCGAGGGCAAUCUCCUUUUGAAAGUGGCCUUUCUGGAAACGGUAAUCGGCUCUCCAGCCCCACGGUACACAUGUUCCCCAGUAAAUGUGAUUAAAGACCCGCACAAAACCCCCUUGCAGAAAAUUAAUUCAGUUUCCAGAAUAAAAAGUUUGAUAAAGUUGUGCAAUGCUCCAGUGACAGCACACAAUGGAAGGGUGAGUUUUAUCCCCUUGAAGGAUAAGUGAGCGGCCAGAAAGGUCUGGUAGUUCCCAGAGUAAAAACAUCUGCUACAGCGAACUCACUUUAGCUUUUGAUUGUGAGAUUCAUUAGUCAUAUGGGACAGUGGUGGUUCCCAACGUGCUGCGGGAAGGGCUGCCCCACGGGCUGGGGUGCCCGGUGCUCCCGGCCCCGCGUCAGGGCCCGCCCGCUCCAAGCUGGUGACCCGUGGGCACUGGAGUCGACCCGAAUUUCCCUUCCAAGGGGGCUGCGCGGGGCAGGGGUGAGGACCGGUGAAGCCCCGUCUGCUACUUACUAGCUACUUGAUUUCUCUAAAUCUUCCUUUUCUGCUCUGCAAAAUGAGAGUAAUUGUGUCUCCUUUUGGGUUAUCAUGAGGAUUAGAUGAAAUAAAAAUCGAAAGCAUUUAGCCCUGUUCCCAGA